UGUCAACAAAGAAGAACAAAUAGGCAAAUAGACAAAAUAUAAAGCAAUAAAGAAAAAAAAUUAUUAUAGCAGAAUAACAAUGACGGGAUGUAUAAGUACCGAGCCACGUCAAAUGGAGAUAACAAAAAAUAGACUCAACAGUAAAAUUAAUACGGUAACAAUACAAAGACAAUUAAAAGAAUACUAUAACACGUAAUUAAGGGGAUGAUACACAACGUCAGUACCUUGAAUCUUAACUUCAAAACA
RNAcentral lists this long non-coding RNA (246 nucleotides) under Mytilus galloprovincialis (Mediterranean mussel). Lineage: Eukaryota; Metazoa; Mollusca; Bivalvia; Mytilida; Mytilidae. The record is from RNAcentral.